This 252-nucleotide ribosomal RNA is filed under the name uncultured bacterium. Its description in RNAcentral is "partial 16S ribosomal RNA". It matches the Rfam family "Bacterial small subunit ribosomal RNA", at positions 524 to 776 of the family's 1533-position model. The record is from RNAcentral.
UACGUAGGCAGCGAGCGUUGUUCGGAAUUACUGGGCGUAAAGAGUGUGUAGGCGGUGCUCUAAGUUCGGUGUGAAAUCUCCUGCUUAACUGGGAGGGUGCGCCGGAAACUGGAGUGCUCGAGCGUGGGAGAGGAAAGCGGAAUUCCUGGUGUAGCGGUGAAAUGCGUAGAUAUCAGGAGGAACACCUGCGGUGUAGACGGCUUUCUGGACCAUUGCUGACGCUGAGACACGAAAGCGUGGGUAGCAAACAGG